CCAGCAGCCGCGGUAAUACGUAGGGCCCGAGCGUUGUCCGGAUUUAUUGGGCGUAAAGAGUAUGUAGGCGGAAUGGAAAGUCGGAUUUGAAAGCUCCAGGCUCAACUUGGAAUUUGGAUCCGAAACUUCUUUUCUUAGAGGAUAGCAGGGGCAAGCGGAAUUAGCGGUGUAGCAGUGAAAUGCGUUGAUCUCGCUAAGAACACCAAUGGCGAAGGCAGCUUGCUAGGUUAUCUCUGACGCUGAGAUACGAAAGCGUGGGGAGCGAACGGGAUUAGAUACCCCGGUAGUCCACGCCGUAAACGAUGCAGACUAGGUAUCAGAAGUAUCGACCCUUCUUGUACCGUAGCUAACGCGUUAAGUCUGCCGCCUGGGGAGUACGGCCGCAAGGCUAAAACUCAAAGGAAUUGACGGGGGCCCGCACAAGC
RNAcentral lists this ribosomal RNA (425 nucleotides) under uncultured bacterium. Its description in RNAcentral is "bacterial SSU rRNA". It matches the Rfam family "Bacterial small subunit ribosomal RNA", at positions 508 to 930 of the family's 1533-position model. The record is from RNAcentral.